UCAGGCUUAUAAAAUAGGUGCCAUCAUUCCCAUUUUACAGAUGAGAAAGCUGAGGCACAGUGAGAUUAAGGAACUUGUCCAAAGUUGCUCAGCUGGUAAGGGCUGGAAGAGCCAGGAUUUGCACCCAGGGCAUCAGUUUGACCCACACUGCUGCUUUGUGACACUUGGACACCUGGGUCAGGAACUCAGUGGGGGACCUGGGUUUUAACCAUAGAUAUGGAGUCAUCUGAAGCUGGGACAGCACUGAGGCCUGGGGAGCCAGCAGGGAGCAUUCCCAGUGUCACACUUGUCCUUUGGAUGACUAAUCAGGGGUAACUACAACCAAGUUCUGACUUGUUAAGGUCAGAGAAUUCUGGAGUGAGGAAGACAGCAGAAUGACAGAGAAGCUCUUAGCCUGCAGUCCUUUCUGUAGACCACUUAGCACUGCUGUCUGUUGGGGCCUUGGCGUUCCUCUUCCCACACAGAUAGCCAUCGUCUGUUAAAGCAGAACACGGGAGCGCGCUCCAGUACAAAGACAAACUAUGUACAGACACCCGGGAAGCAACCA
Odocoileus virginianus texanus is the source of this 547-nucleotide non-coding RNA. The record is from RefSeq and is a predicted model, not a curated record. NCBI's taxonomy places the organism in Eukaryota, Metazoa, Chordata, Mammalia, Artiodactyla, Cervidae.